Molecule: ribosomal RNA, 494 nt
Filed under: uncultured bacterium
Lineage: Bacteria
Description: partial 16S ribosomal RNA
Rfam family: Bacterial small subunit ribosomal RNA
Source: RNAcentral
GACGAACGCUGGCGGCGCGCUUAACACAUGCAAGUCGAACGGAAAGGCCUGCUUUUCCUUGUGGAUUGCGGGUACUCGAGUGGCGAACGGGUGAGUAACACGUGUGUGUUCUGCCCCCAACUUGGGUAUAAGCCUGGGAAACUGGGUCUAAUUCCCGAUAGGACUGCAGGGUGGUGCCUGUGGUGGAAAACGUUUUUCUAGUGGUUGGGGAUGAGCUCGCGGCCUAUCAGCUUGUUGAUGGGGUAAUGGCCUACCACGGCGGCGACUGGUAGUCGGACUGGGAGCGGCGACGGCGACAUUGAGACAGGGACACGACCCAGACGCGUGCGAGAGGCAGCAGUGGGGAAGCAAGCACAAUGAGCGGAAGGGUGAUGCGGCGAGGCAGCGUGGAAGGUGACGGCAUUCGGAUUGUAAGCUCCUUGCGACCACGAGGAAGGCACCUGGUUAGGAGGGUCGUGACGGUAGUGGUAGAAGAAGCACCGGCUAACUACGUG